This 800-nucleotide ribosomal RNA is filed under the name uncultured bacterium. RNAcentral's name for it is "bacterial SSU rRNA". It matches the Rfam family "Bacterial small subunit ribosomal RNA", at positions 8 to 802 of the family's 1533-position model. The record is from RNAcentral.
AGAGUUUGAUCCUGGCUCAGAUUGAACGCUGGCGGCAUGCCUUACACAUGCAAGUCGAACGGUAACAGGGAGCUUGCUCCGCUGACGAGUGGCGAACGGGUGAGUAAUACAUCGGAACGUGCCCAGUAAUGGGGGAUAGCUCGGCGAAAGCCGGAUUAAUACCGCAUACGCCCUGAGGGGGAAAGUGGGGGACCGCAAGGCCUCACGUUAUUGGAGCGGCCGAUGGCUGAUUAGCUAGUUGGUAGGGUAAAGGCCUACCAAGGCGACGAUCAGUAGCUGGUCUGAGAGGACGAUCAGCCACACUGGGACUGAGACACGGCCCAGACUCCUACGGGAGGCAGCAGUGGGGAAUUUUGGACAAUGGGGGAAACCCUGAUCCAGCAAUGCCGCGUGUGCGAAGAAGGCCUUCGGGUUGUAAAGCACUUUUGUCAGGGAAGAAAUCCUUUGGGCUAAUACCCUAGGGGGAUGACGGUACCUGAAGAAUAAGCACCGGCUAACUACGUGCCAGCAGCCGCGGUAAUACGUAGGGUGCAAGCGUUAAUCGGAAUUACUGGGCGUAAAGCGUGCGCAGGCGGUUGUGUAAGACAGGUGUGAAAUCCCCGGGCUUAACCUGGGAAUUGCAUUUGUGACUGCACGACUAGAGUGUGUCAGAGGGGGGUGGAAUUCCACGUGUAGCAGUGAAAUGCGUAGAUAUGUGGAGGAACACCAAUGGCGAACGCAGCCCCCUGAGAUAACACUGACGCUCAUGCACGAAAGCGUGGGGGAGCAAACAGGAUUAGAUACCCUGGUAGUCCACGCCC